Non-coding RNA from Styela clava, 1190 nucleotides. The record is from RefSeq and is a predicted model, not a curated record. Lineage: Eukaryota; Metazoa; Chordata; Ascidiacea; Stolidobranchia; Styelidae.
UCAAAAAGGUAGUUUAACCUCGAAUCGGAGUUUAACUUUGGAUCGGCGGUUUAAGUCCGGAUCAAAAAGGUGGUUUAACUUUCUGUGACGUAAAUCUCGACUUAAAAUCGGCGAUUUUUUAAACCUGGUCUGGAGGUGGUUUAACUCGGUUUGUCGAGUGCAUUAGGAUUGCGGCGCUUGUCGUGUUGGAUGUUAUCGCUUACCGUACAAUCUAUAUUGUAUUCUGGGGCGACAAAUGGAGUAGCAGGGAGCUCUGUACAAGCGUCACGACGAAUAAAUAAUUGUAUACCUGUACCACGAGGCUGCGAUAUGUAGCAUUUGCGGUGGUACCUGUGCUGUACCGGUACCUACCGUACUACGCCUGAACAAAAGUAUUCACAACGUGGAUUUGGGCUAGUAAGAUAUUUAGAUCUACCAGUGCCCAAAAGAUUCCUCUUGGUUAUAUUUUGUGUAUGAGCUGAACUGAGAUUUACCUACGAUAUCCAUGUAUCACUACUGCACUGUACCCCGGUGUAUGUAUCUUGUCAUCGGCUAAUUCACAAGUCUGCAAGUUCCCGAAGUUGGAUAAAAAAAUAGGCUAGAAGCGAAUAGAUAGCAGCUGUUUCAAGUCAAGUAAACUGUCUGAGUGCCAUGAUGAUGAUCAAUUUCAUCAGCUCUAUUGGAAGAGCGAAUUUGUCAUGAAGACAAACAACUGUUAUGGAUAGGAUUAUAGUAAAAGUGUUGUCAAGUCAAGGUUGCAGCAGUGCUUUAUUCUACGCCUUUGUGUCCAACAAAUAUGUGGAACCCGGUUAACUUAAGCUUAACAAACAAAUAAUUCUUGCAAUAAUUCUAAAACAUUUGGAGGAAACAUAGUUAUGUCAAUUUUUCGUCACUUGGCGAGUCUUCCGCAGAAGAAAUAAAUAAAACCUUCAAAUAGCAACGAAAGCAACAACUAUGAUUGCACCUGUGUCUGUGUGCAUUACGUUGACACAUUCCUGUCUCAAAGCUGUAGAGCCAGGAUAAAAUUUAGCACCUCUUCCGAAUUGAUUCUAUGCUUUUCCAUUUCUUGAAUGUCAGUACAUUUUAGCAGUCAUUUGAACAAAUGAAUAUUAGUUAUUUUUGCAAUACAAAUUUUCAAAAUAAUAAAAUGUUAAAUAUGUAGAAGCCUGUGGCCCAGAACUUGCCAGGGAUAGGUUUUCAGCUGAAGUGUG